This 211-nucleotide unclassified non-coding RNA is filed under the name plant metagenome. RNAcentral's name for it is "partial contains small subunit ribosomal RNA, internal transcribed spacer 1, and 5.8S ribosomal RNA". The record is from RNAcentral.
GUUCCGUAGGUGAACCCGCGGAAGGAUCAUUCAUAAUAAAGUGUUUUAUGGCACUUUUUAAAAAUCCAUAUCCACCUUGUGUGCAAUGUUAGAUCUCGUCAAUCUUGGCGAGAUUUUUAUACAUCAACUCAUUCUUUAACUAAUUUGUCUGAAAAAUAUUAUGAAUACUUAAUUCAAAAUACAACUUUCAACAACGGAUCUCUUGGCUCUC